CCCUAAAAGUCCUUUAAACAC
This 21-nucleotide transfer RNA is filed under the name Hyalinobatrachium sp. QCAZ 10801. RNAcentral's name for it is "partial tRNA-Phe". Lineage: Eukaryota; Metazoa; Chordata; Amphibia; Anura; Centrolenidae. The record is from RNAcentral.